This 427-nucleotide ribosomal RNA is filed under the name uncultured prokaryote. RNAcentral's name for it is "bacterial SSU rRNA". It matches the Rfam family "Bacterial small subunit ribosomal RNA", at positions 355 to 774 of the family's 1533-position model. The record is from RNAcentral.
CUAAGAAUAUUCCGCAAUGGACGAAAGUCUGACGGAGCGACGCCGCGUGGAUGAAGAAGGCCGCAGGGUUGUAAAAUCCUUUUGCUGGGGAAGAAUAAGUCCAGGAGGGAAUGCCUGGAUGAUGACAUGAACCGGCGAAUAAGCCCCGGCCAACUACGUGCCAGCAGCCGCGGUAACACGGAGGGGGCAAGCGUUGUUCGGAAUUACUGGGCGUAAAGGGCAUGUAGGCGGUUUAGUAAGCUUGGCGUGAAAGACCACAGCUCAACUGUUGGGGUGCUUUGAGAACUGCUGAACUUGAGUUACGUAGAGGGAGCUAGAAUUCCUGGUGGAGGGGUGGAAUCUGUAGAGAUCAGGAAGAAUACCGAUGGCGAAGGCAAGCUUCUGGCCGAUAACUGACGCUGAGGUGCGAAAGUGUGGGGAUCAAACA